UNGAGGUGACGGCUCGUGUAGCCUAUAUAAUUCGCAUCACACGAGUUACAAUUAAAUUCAUACAUAACUCAUUGUUGGUUUACCAGUGAGGGCUUUGUUUUCGUGACUUUCACAUCUUCCGAGAUUUUCCUACUUGUGAAAACUGGUUGUAAUACACGAUCGAUGGUCGCUUAGUUGUGGGCGUUCGGAGUCGGCGGAUUUCUGGGUCUUUGAAAGGCAAGAUGAUUAGUACAGGGCUUUGGACUGGCUCAAUUCUGUUUUGGUUCUGGUCUUGGGAAGCGUGGAAUCUCUUGAAAGUAGAAUCAAUAAGUUUCUCAGGAAAUUUCAGUUUCAGAAACAUUGUUUUCAGAUCCUGAAAUUCUUCUGAAAAAGGGUCCGGUGAGGAUGACAAGCGGUUGGCGCGAUCAAGCAUAGUUCUCAUUGGCGAUCGUUUCCAUCUCUUAAGUCGUUUUAUCAGCAAAGGCUUGAGAAGUUCUGAAAAAUGAUCAGCUCAAGAGUCAACUGCCAUUUUACAUCCAGAAAACAACAACACCUUAUGACCGCUUCCCCCAUGUGAUCAACUUCUAGCAGUUAAAGGCGAGCAGUUCAACAACCUUCAACAGUUUCUUAUUAGGCACGCUGAGAUUAGAAGAAACACUGGCAAGAAAAUAAGCUGUGGUACUUAACAAUAUUGUAUUAAACCAGUUUAAAAUGGAGUCAUGUUACAACUUCAACAAAUGUUGUGAGAAAGUCUUCAGUAUGAAUUUAGUAAUUUCUAAAACACAUUAUUGACUUAAAAUGCAAUUUUUGAGAUAAUAAUGUCAUCAAUAUGUCAAUUUUGAUUUUUCCACAGCGUUUAGUUAGUUUCGGUUUAAUACGCCAUACGUACAGGUACAAUAGUUAAGUAAAAUUUCACAAAAUCUAUCUCAAGUGUUAAGGUCUAAGAGCUCAUUAAAGAAGUAACGACAAAAAGCUCCUAGAGCCCUCUGCAAUAUGAAUAACUAAAUUACAAAAUAAGAAGAUAUAAAGAAAGC
Molecule: long non-coding RNA, 1013 nt
Organism: Orbicella faveolata
Lineage: Eukaryota; Metazoa; Cnidaria; Anthozoa; Scleractinia; Merulinidae
Source: RefSeq, a predicted model, not a curated record